AUUCAAUGAUGAAAGAUUCAUUCGGUUUAUGGAGUGGGAUGCGUAAGAUUAGGUAGUAGGCGGGGUAACGGCCCACCUAGCCGACGAUUCUUUAGGGGUUCUGAGAGGAAGGUCCCCCACACUGGUACUGAGACACGGACCAGACUCCUACGGGAGGCAGCAGUGAGGAAUAUUGGUCAAUGGGCGGAAGCCUGAACCAGCCAAGUAGCGUGAAGGAUUACAGCCCUACGGGUUUUAAACUUCUUUUAUAUGAGAGUAAUGUGCACUACGUGUAGUGUAUUGCAAGUAUCAUAUGAAUAAGCAUCGGCUAACUCCGUG
This 318-nucleotide ribosomal RNA is filed under the name uncultured bacterium. RNAcentral's name for it is "bacterial SSU rRNA". It matches the Rfam family "Bacterial small subunit ribosomal RNA", at positions 193 to 507 of the family's 1533-position model. The record is from RNAcentral.